CGCGGCCUAUCAGCUUGUUGGUGGGGUAGUGGCUUACCAAGGCCUUGACGGGUAGCCGGCCUGAGAGGGUGACCGGCCACAUUGGGACUGAGAUACGGCCCAGACUCCUACGGGAGGCAGCAGUGGGGAAUAUUGCACAAUGGGCGGAAGCCUGAUGCAGCAACGCCGCGUGCGGGAUGACGGCCUUCGGGUUGUAAACCGCUUUCGCCUGUGACGAAGCGUGAGUGACGGUAAUGGGUAAAGAAGCACCGGCUGACUACGUGCCAGCAGCCGCGGUGAUACGUAGGGUGCGAGCGUUGUCCGGAUUUAUUGGGCGUAAAGGGCUCGUAGGUGGUUGAUCGCGUCGGAAGUGUAAUCUUGGGGCUUAACCCUGAGCGUGCUUUCGAUACGGGUUGACUUGAGGAAGGUAGGGGAGAAUGGAAUUCCUGGUGGAGCGGUGGAAUGCGCAGAUAUCAGGAGGAACACCAGUGGCGAAGGCGGUUCUCUGGGCCUUUCCUGACGCUGAGGAGCGAAAGCGUGGGGAGCGAACAGGCUUAGAUACCCUGGUAGUCCACGCUGUAAACGGUGGGUACUAGGUGUGGGGUCCAUUCCACGGGUUCCGUGCCGUAGCUAACGCUUUAAGUACCCCGCCUGGGGAGUACGG
RNAcentral lists this ribosomal RNA (643 nucleotides) under uncultured bacterium. RNAcentral's name for it is "bacterial SSU rRNA". It matches the Rfam family "Bacterial small subunit ribosomal RNA", at positions 232 to 885 of the family's 1533-position model. The record is from RNAcentral.